AAAUAUGAAGCAAUUAAUUGCAAUUAGUUUCGACCUAAUCUUAAGUACCCAUUUUAAGUACUCAUAUUUU
This 70-nucleotide transfer RNA is filed under the name Euborellia arcanum. RNAcentral's name for it is "tRNA-Arg". The record is from RNAcentral. Lineage: Eukaryota; Metazoa; Arthropoda; Insecta; Dermaptera; Anisolabididae.